RNAcentral lists this ribosomal RNA (233 nucleotides) under uncultured bacterium. RNAcentral describes it as "partial 16S ribosomal RNA". It matches the Rfam family "Bacterial small subunit ribosomal RNA", at positions 100 to 334 of the family's 1533-position model. The record is from RNAcentral.
CGGGACGGGUGAGUAAUGUCUGGGAAACGUGCCUGAUGGAGGGGGGUAACUACUGGAAACGGUAGCUAAUACCGCAUAACGUCGCAAGACCAAGAGGGGGACCUUCGGGCCUCUUGCCAUCGGAUGUGCCCAGAUGGGAUUAGCUAGUAGGUGGGGUAACGGCUCACCUAGGCGACGAUCCCUAGCUGGUCUGAGAGGAUGACCAGCCACACUGGAACUGAGACACGGUCCAG